GCCUCUGUUGUGUAGUGGUCAAGACGCUUGUCUGAUAAUCAGGAGGGCUUGGAUUCAAUCCCAGCUGAGGCA
RNAcentral lists this transfer RNA (72 nucleotides) under Diaphorina citri (Asian citrus psyllid). It matches the Rfam family "tRNA". Rfam says of the family: Transfer RNA (tRNA) molecules are approximately 80 nucleotides in length. The record is from Rfam by way of RNAcentral. Lineage: Eukaryota; Metazoa; Arthropoda; Insecta; Hemiptera; Psyllidae.